Molecule: ribosomal RNA, 1803 nt
Filed under: Acinetobacter baumannii
Lineage: Bacteria; Pseudomonadati; Pseudomonadota; Gammaproteobacteria; Moraxellales; Moraxellaceae
Description: partial 23S ribosomal RNA
Rfam family: Bacterial large subunit ribosomal RNA
Source: RNAcentral
UCACUAGUCGAGUCGGCCUGCGCGGAAGAUGUAACGGGGCUAAAACUAUGUGCCGAAGCUGCGGAUGUAUACUUUGUAUACGUGGUAGGGGAGCGUUCUGUAAGCCGAUGAAGGUGUGUUGAGAAGCAUGCUGGAGGUAUCAGAAGUGCGAAUGCUGACGUGAGUAACGACAAAACGGGUGAAAAACCCGUUCGCCGAAAGACCAAGGGUUCCAGUCCAACGUUAAUCGGGGCUGGGUGAGUCGACCCCUAAGGCGAGGCCGAAAGGCGUAGUCGAUGGGAAAAUGGUUAAUAUUCCAUUACUUCUGUGUAAUGCGAUGAGAGGACGGAGAAGGCUAAAUCAGCCUGGCGUUGGUUGUCCAGGUGAAAGGAUGUAGGCAUGUAUCUUAGGCAAAUCCGGGGUACUCUAUGCUGAGAUCUGAUAGCAAGCUGUACUUGUACAGCGAAGUGGUUGAUGCCAUGCUUCCAGGAAAAGUCUCUAAGCUUCAGUUACACAGGAAUCGUACCCGAAACCGACACAGGUGGUCAGGUCGAGUAGACCAAGGCGCUUGAGAGAACUCUGCUGAAGGAACUAGGCAAAAUGGUACCGUAACUUCGGGAGAAGGUACGCUGUUGUUGGUGAUGGAACUCGCUUCCUGAGCUGACGACAGCCGCAGAAACCAGGCCGCUGCAACUGUUUAUUAAAAACAUAGCACUCUGCAAACACGAAAGUGGACGUAUAGGGUGUGAUGCCUGCCCGGUGCUGGAAGGUUAAUUGAUGGGGUUAGCGUAAGCGAAGCUCUUGAUCGAAGCCCCAGUAAACGGCGGCCGUAACUAUAACGGUCCUAAGGUAGCGAAAUUCCUUGUCGGGUAAGUUCCGACCUGCACGAAUGGCAUAAUGAUGGCGGCGCUGUCUCCAGCAGAGGCUCAGUGAAAUCGAAAUCGCUGUGAAGAUGCAGUGUACCCGCGGCUAGACGGAAAGACCCCGUGAACCUUUACUGCAGCUUGACACUGAACUUUGACCUUACUUGUGUAGGAUAGGUGGGAGGCUUUGAAGCUGGAACGCUAGUUCCAGUGGAGCCGUCCUUGAAAUACCACCCUGGUAAUGUUGAGGUUCUAACUCUGUCCCGUGAUCCGGGACGAGGACCGUGUCUGGUGGGUAGUUUGACUGGGGCGGUCUCCUCCUAAAGAGUAACGGAGGAGUACGAAGGUGCGCUCAGCGUGGUCGGAAAUCACGCGUAGAGUAUAAAGGCAAAAGCGCGCUUAACUGCGAGACCCACAAGUCGAGCAGGUACGAAAGUAGGUCUUAGUGAUCCGGUGGUUCUGUAUGGAAGGGCCAUCGCUCAACGGAUAAAAGGUACUCUGGGGAUAACAGGCUGAUACCGCCCAAGAGUUCAUAUCGACGGCGGUGUUUGGCACCUCGAUGUCGGCUCAUCUCAUCCUGGGGCUGAAGCAGGUCCCAAGGGUAUGGCUGUUCGCCAUUUAAAGAGGUACGCGAGCUGGGUUUAGAACGUCGUGAGACAGUUCGGUCCCUAUCUACCGUGGGCGCUGGAAAUUUGAGAGGAUCUGCUCCUAGUACGAGAGGACCAGAGUGGACGAACCUCUGGUGUACCGGUUGUGACGCCAGUCGCAUCGCCGGGUAGCUAUGUUCGGAAGGGAUAACCGCUGAAAGCAUCUAAGCGGGAAGCCUACCUCAAGAUAAGAUUUCCCUAGGACUUUAUGUCCUCUAAAGAGCCGUUCGAGACUAGGACGUUGAUAGGUUGGAUGUGGAAGCAUAGUGAUAUGUGAAGCUGACCAAUACUAAUUGCUCGUGAGGCUUGACUAU